GUACAGUGUCAUUGUUUGACUGUGUAGUUCUGGUGGUCCGUCUAAUACUUUAAAUUUUUUCACUAAAGAAACACAAGCAAAUUCAUUACAAUUUACAGUGGAUAAGAGUUCUGAUGCUAUCUGCUUUAGGGGGUUUGUAAGCUUGUCGACCAUGGCAAAUAGAGUGCGGGUAUUGUUGAUAUUCUUGUUGAUUAUUCCCAAUAAAUGUUGUUGUCUAGCCCUGUGUAACUCAUAGUUGAAGCUACAAAGGCUUUGUUUAUAGAUGAUAUAGUGGACUAUAGUUAAUUUUUCCUCCACUUACGUUCUGCUUUCCUACAUUACCUUCAUGGUGGUUCACCAUUGUGCUUUCUGUUUGCUCAUAAUUUUCUUCACCUUUACCCUCAAUCCAUCAAUCAAAUUGAUUUAUAAAGCCCUUUUUACCACUGCAGUUGUCACAAAAUGCUUUUAGAAAACACUACCAGAAACAACAAGGAGCAAGCAACAACAAUGGUGAAGCACAGUGGCUAGGAAAAACUGCUUAAAAGGGGCAAACAUUUUGGAAGAACCCUAGAGAGUAACUAGGAUCUAGAGAGGGGUGACCAGUCCUCUUCUGGCUGUGGUGAACGAACAAGUUGUAAUAAUUAUUAAAUGCAUUUGGGUUGUGUCCAGAGUCUAUAAAACCUAAUCCAGUUCAGAAGCAAGACCAGAUGGACAAGGACAGGCACAACUGGAUGGAGGGGUGGCUGGGGGGGUGGUUAUCAGACUGGCAGCUGGAAUUGUCAAGUAUUGUCUUGAUCUGCAACACAGCAAGGAGGUCUUUGGACAAGUGGCAGUAAUGUGUUUUUAGGGCCUUGUACUCAGGAGGUGUGGGCCAAGGCCUCAUGUCCUAUUAAGUUUGAACGGAGCAGGAAACAAGAACAUUUAAAGAGUGCAUUCCUUAAGUUUACAAGGAUUAACAGUGGAGAAGAGGAAUUGACCCAACUCCCCCCUGGCACAAUUUAGCAACGUAUAGUCUUUGGGCUGAGAUCAUUAAUGUACCUUUUCUUAACUGAAACAUAGUUAAAUUGAACAUCCGGGGUGAUCAGUGAUCAAUGUGGAUGUUAAAAUCCCCUGUUUUAAUAAAUACGUUUCUCCCAUUUCUUGUGAGAUGCCUGACUGCUUCAUUUUCUCUGGUGGUUGCCUCGGUCUAAUGGACCGCGUCCGUCUGGCGGCAAGCUGCUUUUAAAUACAAGGCUACUCUCAAAAUCGACCAGCCAUGUUGGUUUGGACACACAUUCGCAUCAGUUCGUCGCUCAAUCGCGAGUUACUAAAGCCUGCAGUUUGCUAGCUAGCAAUGUCAUCGACUACCAUCGUUUAAAUACCUUGGCGAGAGCAUAAUCGGUUAUCUUCACCCAAGAGACAUACUGUUCUAACCUACGGUCAAUAAUUUUGGCUUUAAAGAACCAGGUUUCUCCCCAGUAAUCCAGACUCCACUUCACAGAGCCAAGAGUUUGAGUACAACUGAGGUGGCUUGGGCAUCUGUUCCGGAUGCCUCCUGAACGCCUUCCCGGGAAGGUAUUCCGGGCCCGUCCCACCGGGAGGAGACCCCGGGGAAGACCUAGGACACGCUGGAGGGACUAUGUCUCCCGGCUGGCCUGGGAACGCCUCGGUGUCACCCCGGAAGAGCUGGAGGAAGUCUAGGGAGAGGGAAGUCUGGGCAUCUCUGCUUAGACUGCUGCCCCCGCGACCCGGCCCCGGAUAAGCGGAAGAAGAUGGAUGGAUUGCUAGCUAGUACCAUGCUAGGUAUUUAAUUAGCUACAUAAUAAUAAUUAUUUAUUAAACUUCUUGAAUCUCAU
Esox lucius (northern pike) is the source of this 1814-nucleotide long non-coding RNA. Lineage: Eukaryota; Metazoa; Chordata; Actinopteri; Esociformes; Esocidae. The record is from Ensembl.